GACGAACGCUGGCGGCGUGCUUAACACAUGCAAGUCGAACGGAAAGGCCCUGCUUGCAGGGUACUCGAGUGGCGAACGGGUGAGUAACACGUGGGUGAUCUGCCCUGCACUUCGGGAUAAGCCUGGGAAACUGGGUCUAAUACCGGAUAGGAGCCAUUUUUAGUGUGAUGGUUGGAAAGUUUUUUCGGUGUAGGAUGAGCUCGCGGCCUAUCAGCUUGUUGGUGGGGUAAUGGCCUACCAAGGCGGCGACGGGUAGCCGGCCUGAGAGGGUGGACGGCCACAUUUGGACUGUGAGACGGCCCAGACGCCUACGGGAGGCAGCAGUGGGGAAUGUUGCGCAAUGGGCGCAAGCCUGAUGGAGCGACGCCGCGUGGGGGAUGACGGCCUUCGGGUUGUAAACUCCUUUCGCUAGGGACGAAGCUUUUUGUGACGGUACCUAGAUAAGAAGCACCGGCUAACUACGUG
This 465-nucleotide ribosomal RNA is filed under the name uncultured bacterium. RNAcentral's name for it is "partial 16S ribosomal RNA". It matches the Rfam family "Bacterial small subunit ribosomal RNA", at positions 28 to 507 of the family's 1533-position model. The record is from RNAcentral.